RNAcentral lists this ribosomal RNA (392 nucleotides) under uncultured bacterium. RNAcentral's name for it is "bacterial SSU rRNA". It matches the Rfam family "Bacterial small subunit ribosomal RNA", at positions 28 to 420 of the family's 1533-position model. The record is from RNAcentral.
AAUCAACGCUGGCGGCGUGCCUAACACAUGCAAGUCGAGCGGUAAGGCCCUUUCGGGGGUACACGAGCGGCGAACGGGUGAGUAACACGUGGGUGACCUGCCCUCAGCUCUGGGAUAAGCCUGGGAAACCGGGUCUAAUACUGGAUAUGACUCCAUGACGCAUGUUGUGGGGUGGAAAGCCUUGUGCGGCUGAGGAUGGGCCCGCGGCCUAUCAGCUUGUUGGUGGGGUGAUGGCCUACCAAGGCGACGACGGGUAGCCGGCCUGAGAGGGCGACCGGCCACACUGGGACUGAGACACGGCCCAGACUCUUACGGGAGGCAGCAGUGGGGAAUCUUGCGCAAUGGGCGAAAAGCCUGACGCAGCGACGCCGCGUGAGGGAUGACGGCCUCGG